UCGGGCUACAUCUUUCGGUUGCUGAGGGCAAUCUAAGGUGCCGGGUGCUUCCACACCGAUAGUAGAUGUUAUUGAUACGUCAACAGGGCAGGUCACCAUGCGAGCGACCAUAAUGUUAACAAGGUUGGUUAGCUCGGGCAGGUGGAGCUAUAGGUGGGGGUAAGGUAGGAAGAAAGGCAAUUCUGGUUCGUUUGUUUAGAGGGUAACUUAUUGGGUCAGACAAUCUUUUUCUAAGAUAUUGGGGUUGUU
This 249-nucleotide long non-coding RNA is filed under the name Carica papaya (papaya). RNAcentral describes it as "long non-coding RNA (CPAP_LNC012428)". The record is from RNAcentral. Lineage: Eukaryota; Viridiplantae; Streptophyta; Magnoliopsida; Brassicales; Caricaceae.